RNAcentral lists this ribosomal RNA (182 nucleotides) under uncultured Actinomycetales bacterium. RNAcentral describes it as "partial 16S ribosomal RNA". It matches the Rfam family "Bacterial small subunit ribosomal RNA", at positions 152 to 334 of the family's 1533-position model. The record is from RNAcentral. Lineage: Bacteria; Bacillati; Actinomycetota; Actinomycetes; Actinomycetales.
GGAAACUGGGGCUAAUACCGGAUAGGAGCUCCUGCUGCAGUGGUGGGGGUUGGAAAGUUUCGGCGGUUGGGGAUGGACUCGCGGCUUAUCAGCUUGUUGGUGGGGUAGUGGCUUACCAAGGCUUUGACGGGUAGCCGGCCUGAGAGGGUGACCGGCCACAUUGGAACUGAGAUACGGCCCAG